RNAcentral lists this long non-coding RNA (535 nucleotides) under Equus asinus (donkey). Its description in RNAcentral is "lncRNA (ENSEASG00005029072.1)". Lineage: Eukaryota; Metazoa; Chordata; Mammalia; Perissodactyla; Equidae. The record is from RNAcentral.
AAAAAUUUGAAGGAAAAGAAAUCUUUUACCCUUCUUUACCAACAGGUUCACCUCCUUUGUCUAGCAAAGAACCUGAAGAGCUGGGAGCCAAAUACCAGCCCCUGGUGAGGCCACUGCUUCAGCUCUGGUAGGAAAGGCUUCAGUCCGGGGUAGGAAAGCAGUAUGCUUUUUUCUCGAGGUUGGAAGACUCUAUAUCAUAGGCUUCUCCGACAACUUUAGAUUGCAAACUACAGGCAUAGACCUGCCCUCUUAGCUGCCAGACUGACCAGCUGUUAUCUCCAUUCAUCUCUCUCAGGUGAGCAAAAUAUUCCAGAUGAACAAACUAUCUUGUGGAGGAACCAGCAGAAAACUGACAGGUGGACUUAACCACUGUGGCCGCAAAGCCUUCAGGUCCUCUGGAACGUGAUCUCACCCUACCUGUCCAAACCUAAUUUCUACCAUUUCUACAAAUGCUUGUUUUUCUCCAUAAGAAGCAGAAAAGCAUGGGAUUCCUCACCUUGCCCUUCUUGUCUCCUGUCUCUCUCCCUACAUUGAU